UAAUUGAAGAGUUUGAUCAUGGCUCAGAUUGAACGCUGGCGGCAGGCCUAACACAUGCAAGUCGAGCGGUAACAGGGGAAGCUUGCUUCUCGCUGACGAGCGGCGGACGGGUGAGUAAUGUAUGGGGAUCUGCCCGAUAGAGGGGGAUAACUACUGGAAACGGUAGCUAAUACCGCAUAAUCUCUCAGGAGCAAAGCAGGGGAACUUCGGUCCUUGCGCUAUCGGAUGAACCCAUAUGGGAUUAGCUAGUAGGUGAGGUAAUGGCUCACCUAGUAG
RNAcentral lists this ribosomal RNA (276 nucleotides) under Providencia rettgeri. Its description in RNAcentral is "partial 16S ribosomal RNA". It matches the Rfam family "Bacterial small subunit ribosomal RNA", at positions 1 to 273 of the family's 1533-position model. Lineage: Bacteria; Pseudomonadati; Pseudomonadota; Gammaproteobacteria; Enterobacterales; Morganellaceae. The record is from RNAcentral.